RNAcentral lists this ribosomal RNA (164 nucleotides) under uncultured bacterium. RNAcentral's name for it is "partial 16S rRNA". It matches the Rfam family "Bacterial small subunit ribosomal RNA", at positions 355 to 511 of the family's 1533-position model. The record is from RNAcentral.
UAGGGAAUCUUCCACAAUGGACGAAAGUCUGAUAGAGCAACGCCGCGUGAGUGAAGAAGGGUUUCGGCUCGUAAAACUCUGUUGUUAAAGAAGAACAUAUCUGAGAGUAACUGUUCAGGUAUUGACGGUAUUUAACCAGAAAGCCACGGCUAACUACGUGCCAC